This is a long non-coding RNA of Chinchilla lanigera (long-tailed chinchilla), 656 nucleotides long. Lineage: Eukaryota; Metazoa; Chordata; Mammalia; Rodentia; Chinchillidae. The record is from Ensembl.
CGGCAGGUUGAGGUGUGGCGCGCGCUCCGCCCACCGGGCUGGGCGCUCCGGCAGGUAGGCGUCGUGCGGCCCCUCCCUGCGUCCCUCGGCCGCGCGGGCCCCCUCUGUGCGGGGCGUCCGCGUGCGUCCCGCGGCCCCUCGGCCCUGAGCCCCGCCGGGUCUUUCCUGCCCUUCGCAUCUCUGAGGGUCAGGGUUCCCGCGCCGCCGGCUACGUGGCUUGCGGCGGGAACUGCCGCGCCCCGGCCCCGAACCCCCUCCCCGACCUCGGCGCCGCGACCACUGCGAAGACCGCGCUCGGCCCAAGCGCGGGCCCCAAAAACGCCCCGGACUCGGGUUCGAAACUAACAGGGAAAUGUUUCAGACCUGAAUGCUUCGCUCCUUCCUUCAAGCUGCAGCGAAAGCGCGCCUCUGAUAUUGGCCUGUGGAGUAAAGGCUGGUUAGAGAAGACACCAAGCAGGCAGGAACGGUACAAAGAGACAAAAGCGGAAGUCAAAGUCUUCACACUGUCAGCAGAAGAUCAUUCAAAAUUAAAGCAAGGAACUUCGCAAAGUAAAGGUGCCCAUCUUGGAGAGGGAACAAGCAUUCAUCCUGUUGGAUUCCUACAGUUCCCCGAACUCCACAUCCAAUCCACCAGCAAGGCUUGCUUCUGCCUCUAA